Molecule: long non-coding RNA, 2477 nt
Organism: Carassius auratus (goldfish)
Lineage: Eukaryota; Metazoa; Chordata; Actinopteri; Cypriniformes; Cyprinidae
Source: Ensembl
AUGGCCGCCAGCCCAGCGCCACAGCACCAAGUGGUCGCUAGCCCAGUACCACAACACAAGAUGGCCGCCAGCUCCGCGCCACAGCACAAGAUAGCCGCCAACCCUGCGCCGCUGCGGUGCAGGGCCACCAAACUCCCAUCACGAGGCAAGAUGGAAGCCAGCCUCACACCACAGUACCCGAUGGCCACCAGCUCAGCACCGACGCCCAAGACGGCCGCUGUCUCAUUCUUGGAUUAUUUCGCUACGCUAUCAAGAAUACUAGAGGUUCCCAAGACGGUUCACGUCAUGGCUGCUGAGCCAGCGCUUCAGCACAAGAUGGCCGUUAACCCAGCGCCACAGCUCAAGAUGGCCGCUGAGCCAGAGCCACAGCACAAGAUGGCUGUGAUGACGCAAACAGAAACCGCGACCUGCACAUGCACCUGCAUAACGCAGACCACGAGCUCCACGCGACAUUCACUUCACUUACCAGUGAGAACAUUCUCUCUCUUCUUACUCCUUUAUUCGUAGCACUAAAGCGUCUCCUAACAAAGAGAUUAAGACGGACCACGAAGUAAAAACAAAGAAAAGUACAGUCUUAUAGAGUCUGUUAGCACACGUCUCACUGAGAUCUUGACGGAUCCUCUGCACUUCAUCGCGAAUGUGCUUGAUCCGCGUUAUAAAACCAUUACUUGGAUGCGGAAAUAAGGCAGCGCGCACAAGAAAUGAUCCAGGCCGCGCUGGAUGCGGAGAACCCGCGUGGAGACGGAGAAGCGCCAAGUGCAGGAGACUGAGAUCAGAGCGCAGAAAAGACUCGUCUCUGCACCAGAUGAGUGGCAUGCACCCUCGUUGUCUGAUAUGUUAAGUGAAAUUCUGCAAGAAAGUGCCUCAAAUAAUAAUAAUACGUUGGCUAUUUUGUUCUUAGGCUACUAUAUAUACACACACACACACACACACACACACACACACACACACAACAGCUAGAUGGUUAACUGUCUGAAGUCCCCAUCCCCAGAAGAGACAACCUUCUUGCCUAUACUGGAGAAGUGAUGCACUUUCUAGUCCUACAGAGAACAAUUUCAAAUGCACUUCACCUAAAUGCACUUUGUUUUUAUGAGAGAACUGUUCAUUUUAAAACCUUUCUGCAGGCCAGUAGGCCUGUACAUUAUUAUUAAAUAUACACAUGCGUGGGAUACAUUUUUAGUUUGAAUUUUAUUUUAUACUGUGCAUUGUUGCAAUGUGCUUAAUAAAUAUUUGCAUCAUUUGUAAUUAUGUAUUUUUAUGGUUUUUUUUUUAAUAAGUUAUUAAAUUGUAAUUAUCUUUGAAACUUUAAUAUUAAUUUAUGCAAUUGCAAUGUCUUAAUUUUAGUAAAACUAGUACACGGUCAUAGCAAUAAAUGCAAUGGUACUAAUAAUUGGCAUAAUUUCUUUCGGUGUUUCGGUUUCGGUUUUCGGCCUUGGUUUUCUCUUUUUCGGUUUUCGGUAUCGGCCAAGAAUUUUCAUUUCGGUGCAUCCCUAGUUUGGACAUGUGGAGCGAGCAUUGUCAUGAGUCCUGUCUGGUAUCUGCUUGUUCUUCUGUGUCUGGUUCUGUGUUUCAGGAGAAAGCAGCGGUUCUGUCAAAUAUGUCCUCAGAGUAUCUGGACCUGAAGGAGGUGUUCAGUAACUCUCGCGCUGCUUCUCUUCCUCCGCAUCGUCCCUAUGACUGUGCCAUAGAGAUAUUACCAGGCAAACUUUACUCUUUUUCUAUUCCUGAAAGGGAGACCAUGGAGAAAUAUAUGCCUGAUUCUAUAGUAAAUGGGUUCAUCCGCCCUUCCUCUUCUCUUGUGGGGGCGGGAUUCUUUUUUGUUGGUAAGAAGGAUGGUUCUCGGCGACCUUGUAUUGAUUGUUCAGCAUGUCAGGCGAGUACUCCAGAGGUUGCUAGAGAAUGGGCUUUUUGUCAAGGCGGAGAAAUAUGUUUUUCAUGCACAGUCUGUUUCUUUCCUGGGUUACAUUGUCUCUUCUGAAAGAUAAAGACCCAUCUCUUUAACCUGGCUUACACAUAACAUACUAAUAUGCUUUUAAUAUCCAAAUCAAUUAAAGGAUUUUUAGGCUGCAUUAAUUAGGUAAACCGGAUCUGGGAACACUUCCCGUAACACCCAAUGUACUUGCAACAUCAUUAGAAGAAUGUCAUCUACGCUAAUAUUAGUCUGUUUCUCUCUUAUUCCGAGGUCACUGUAGCCACCAGAUCCAGUCUGUAUCCAGAUCAAAGUGUCAUUGCAUUCAUCCGAAUCCGGUACGUAUCCAGACCAGAUGGUGGAUCAGCACCUAGAAAGGACCUCUACAGCCCUGAAAGACAGCGGAGACCAGGACAACUAGAGCCCCAGAUACAGAUCCCCACAGGAAACAGAUGAUUCUUCUGCACAAUCACAUCUGACUUUGCUGCAGUCUUGACUUCAACUGCUGGUUUCGUCUGGUCAGAGGAGAACUGGUCCCAGAGAACAACUGGGCCUGAUUUCUCCCAAG